Molecule: long non-coding RNA, 1459 nt
Filed under: Marmota monax (woodchuck)
Lineage: Eukaryota; Metazoa; Chordata; Mammalia; Rodentia; Sciuridae
Source: RNAcentral
UUGUCAAGGGAAUGGGAGCAAGUCUAAGAGACAUCUGACCAAGAUAUCUUAGCUAUGUCAUCAUAGCUGAGAUCUGAAACUUAAACUCUGUUCUACAAUAUGAAUACUAUUCAGCUAAGUGUAGGAGGCCAUUGCAGGCAAAGAAAAUAAUAUGAGACAUAUUCUUCAGGAGUUUCUGAGCUUUGAUUGUCUUAGGUAGCUAAUGGUAGUGGUGAUAGGGAUUUACAUAAAAAGUAGAAAAAAGUUUUAUGUAUGACUGACUAGUAGUCCUUGGGUCACUAAAACAGUAAUUAAAGGACUGAUAUUCCUAUUUAGAAAUGAUGUUAGUGCCUAGAAUGAUAGAGCAUAAAUUUAGCUUCUCCCUAGAAGGCAAACCACAUUAUUUGAUUGUGGGUUUUGCCUCCAGUGGGUUAUUAAUGCAACACAGAGUAUGCCAUAGAUGUGAUCUCUGUUCUCAAGGAUGGUAAAAUCUGAACUGGGCUUACUUUGAUAAGAGGCAAAAGAAUAAGAUUGAGGCAGCAAAAUUGAUAUAUUUCCUUGAUAUGUCACCAGAUAUAUACUUCAUUUGCAAGUUGUGGGCAAGUGUGUUGUAUAGAAUUAAAAAAAUAAAAGUGUGUGAUUUGAACAGGGAAUAGGGAAAAUUUCUGUAGAUUAUUCAAGUGUGUGGUGUAGUGGCUUUCAAUUCUAAUAAAAAGUGAUGCUUCAACCUUCUCCCUUAUUAUGCUCUAUUAUGUUCUUUUACUAGCCAUGUUUUCUACACACUUCCACCAGCUACCUGCCAGUCUUUCUAUUCCAUCAUUGCCCUGCUAGUUAAAUGGCUUUAAAUGUGUACUGAGUGUCAGCAGACUCUAGGUGCCCUGAAGGAAGAAGAACUCUGCCUGGGCAUUCAUUCUAAAUUAAGCAUAAAGGUUAGUGCUCAAUUGUGAACAUGCUCAAAUCAUAUUUUCAAAAUACCUUACCAUCUUAUAGCUGAUUCCAACAGCUAAGUAUUAAUGCUACCCAGACUCUCAUUUACUUCAGUAUAAGCUGUUUACAAUUAGAGUCAAUGAUACUUUAGAAAAGAAAAAAAACAGCUUAUAGUUGUAGAUGAUCAAAUGAUAAGUGUCUGUUAAAACACACAGUGGACUUGUGUUUGGGGAAUUUAAAAAUGUUUAAAUCAAAGAGAACAUAAAAAUAGUAAUAAGGAAAUAUAGCCUACUAUGGCUCACAGAAAAUAGGUGUGUUUACAUUUUGGAAAAUUUCCUAUUUACAAAAUCCAAAUUGAAUAAGAUAUAUGAGCUGAUUAGUUACACUUCUGAAAGAUCUAGUUGAAGAAGAUCUGUUAAAAUAAGUAAUGCAUCUUCCAAUUUUAAGUGUUGGCUUUAGUAGAUUAUGAACUCUCUGGUGAGAUAUCUAGCAAGGAAACAAAGGUCAAGUAUUUAAACUAAUGUCAAAUGAAAAAUGAAGAUGAACCAUCCCU